This 1302-nucleotide ribosomal RNA is filed under the name metagenome. RNAcentral's name for it is "bacterial LSU rRNA". It matches the Rfam family "Bacterial large subunit ribosomal RNA", at positions 1635 to 2925 of the family's 2925-position model. The record is from RNAcentral.
UACACGACCGUACCGCAAACCGACACUGGUGCGCGAGAUGAGUAUUCUAAGGCGCUUGAGAGAACUCAGGAGAAGGAACUCGGCAAAUUGACACCGUAACUUCGGAAGAAGGUGUGCCUUUAGUAGGUGAAGGGAUUUACUCCUGGAGCCCAAUGAGGUUGCAAAAAAUCGGUGGCUGCGACUGUUUAUUAAAAACACAGCACUCUGCAAACACGAAAGUGGACGUAUAGGGUGUGACGCCUGCCCGGUGCUGGAAGAUUAAAUGAUGGGGUGCAAGCUCUUGAUUGAAGUCCCAGUAAACGGCGGCCGUAACUAUAACGGUCCUAAGGUAGCGAAAUUCCUUGUCGGGUAAGUUCCGACCUGCACGAAUGGCGUAACGAUGGCCACACUGUCUCCUCCUGAGACUCAGCGAAGUUGAAAUGUUUGUGAUGAUGCAAUCUCCCCGCGGAAAGACGGAAAGACCCCAUGAACCUUUACUGUAGCUUUGUAUUGGACUUUGAACAGAUCUGUGUAGGAUAGGUGGGAGGCUUUGAAGCAGGGUCGCUAGAUCUUGUGGAGCCAACGUUGAAAUACCACCCUGGUGUGUUUGAGGUUCUAACCUAGGCCCGUAAUCCGGGUUGGGGACAGUGCAUGGUAGGCAGUUUGACUGGGGCGGUCUCCUCCCAAAGUGUAACGGAGGAGUUCGAAGGUACGCUAGUUACGGUCGGACAUCGUGACGAUAGUGCAAUGGCAUAAGCGUGCUUAACUGCGAGACUGACAAGUCGAGCAGAUGCGAAAGCAGGACAUAGUGAUCCGGUGGUUCUGUAUGGAAGGGCCAUCGCUCAACGGAUAAAAGGUACUCUGGGGAUAACAGGCUGAUACCGCCCAAGAGUUCAUAUCGACGGCGGUGUUUGGCACCUCGAUGUCGGCUCAUCUCAUCCUGGGGCUGUAGCCGGUCCCAAGGGUAUGGCUUUUCGCCAUUUAAAGAGGUACGUGAGCUGGGUUUAAAACGUCGUGAGACAGUUUGGUCCCUAUCUUCCGUGGGCGCUGCAGAUUUGAGGAAGCCUGCUCCUAGUACGAGAGGACCGGAGUGGACGCACCUCUGGUGUAUCGGUUGUCACGCCAGUGGCAUUGCCGAGUAGCUAUGUGCGGAAGAGAUAACCGCUGAAAGCAUCUAAGCGGGAAACUCGUUUCAAGAUGAGAUCUGCCGGGGCCUUGAGCCCCCUGAAGAGUCGUUCAAGACCAGGACGUUGAUAGGUCGGGUGUGGAAGCGCAGUAAUGCGUUAAGCUAACCGAUACUAAUUGCUCGUGCGGCUUGACCCC